Molecule: transfer RNA, 76 nt
Filed under: Egicoccus halophilus
Lineage: Bacteria; Bacillati; Actinomycetota; Nitriliruptoria; Egicoccales; Egicoccaceae
Description: tRNA-Arg
Rfam family: tRNA
About the family: Transfer RNA (tRNA) molecules are approximately 80 nucleotides in length. Their secondary structure includes four short double-helical elements and three loops (D, anti-codon, and T loops).
Source: RNAcentral
GCGCGGGUAGCUCAGUCCGGAUAGAGCACCUGACUACGGAUCAGGCGGCCGGGGGUUCGAAUCCCUCCCCGCGCGC